GCCACAGAUGUAAAGGCAGUGAUGUCAAAGUCGAGUGGUACUAAUUACCCAUAAGCUUAUGAAU
RNAcentral lists this ribosomal RNA (64 nucleotides) under Ancylomarina sp. 16SWW S1-10-2. Its description in RNAcentral is "partial 23S ribosomal RNA". Lineage: Bacteria; Pseudomonadati; Bacteroidota; Bacteroidia; Marinilabiliales; Marinifilaceae. The record is from RNAcentral.